UACGGAGGGUGCAAGCGUUGUUCGGAAUUAUUGGGCGUAAAGCGCGUGUAGGCGGCUAUUUAAGUCUGAUGUGAAAGCCCGGGGCUCAACCUCGGAAGUGCAUUGGAAACUGGAUAGCUUGAGUGCAGGAGAGGAGAGUGGAAUUCCUAGUGUAGCGGUGAAAUGCGUAGAUAUUCGAAGGAACACCGGUGGCGAAGGCGGCUACCUGGACCGAUACUGACGCUGAGACGCGAAAGCGUGGGGAG
RNAcentral lists this ribosomal RNA (245 nucleotides) under uncultured Desulfuromonas sp. Its description in RNAcentral is "partial 16S ribosomal RNA". It matches the Rfam family "Bacterial small subunit ribosomal RNA", at positions 524 to 768 of the family's 1533-position model. Lineage: Bacteria; Pseudomonadati; Thermodesulfobacteriota; Desulfuromonadia; Desulfuromonadales; Desulfuromonadaceae. The record is from RNAcentral.